Molecule: ribosomal RNA, 1343 nt
Filed under: uncultured bacterium
Lineage: Bacteria
Description: 16S ribosomal RNA
Rfam family: Bacterial small subunit ribosomal RNA
Source: RNAcentral
GACGAACGCUGGCGGCGUGCUUAACACACGCAAGUCGAACGGAAAGGCCCUGCUUUUGUGGGGUGCUCGAGUGGCGAACGGGUGAGUAACACGUGAGUAACCUGCCCUUGACUUUGGGAUAACUUCAGGAAACUGGGGCUAAUACCGGAUAGGAGCUCCUGCUGCAUGGUGGGGGUUGGAAAGUUUCGGCGGUUGGGGAUGGACUCGCGGCUUAUCAGCUUGUUGGUGGGGUAGUGGCUUACCAAGGCUUUGACGGGUAGCCGGCCUGAGAGGGUGACCGGCCACAUUGGGACUGAGAUACGGCCCAGACUCCUACGGGAGGCAGCAGUGGGGAAUAUUGCACAAUGGGCGGAAGCCUGAUGCAGCAACGCCGCGUGCGGGAUGACGGCCUUCGGGUUGUAAACCGCUUUCGCCUGUGACGAAGCGUGAGUGACGGUAAUGGGUAAAGAAGCACCGGCUAACUACGUGCCAGCAGCCGCGGUGAUACGUAGGGUGCGAGCGUUGUCCGGAUUUAUUGGGCGUAAAGGGCUCGUAGGUGGUUGAUCGCGUCGGAAGUGUAAUCUUGGGGCUUAACCCUGAGCGUGCUUUCGAUACGGGUUGACUUGAGGAAGGUAGGGGAGAAUGGAAUUCCUGGUGGAGCGGUGGAAUGCGCAGAUAUCAGGAGGAACACCAGUGGCGAAGGCGGUUCUCUGGGCCUUUCCUGACGUUGAGGAGCGAAAGCGUGGGGAGCGAACAGGCUUAGAUACCCUGGUAGUCCACGCUGUAAACGGUGGGUACUAGGUGUGGGGUCCAUUCCACGGGUUCCGUGCCGUAGCUAACGCUUUAAGUACCCCGCCUGGGGAGUACGGCCGCAAGGCUAAAACUCAAAGGAAUUGACGGGGCCCCGCACAAGCGGCGGAGCAUGCGGAUUAAUUCGAUGCAACGCGUAGAACCUUACCUGGGUUUGACAUGGAUCGGGAGUGCUCAGAGAUGGGUGUGCCUCUUUUGGGGUCGGUUCACAGGUGGUGCAUGGCUGUCGUCAGCUCGUGUCGUGAGAUGUUGGGUUAAGUCCCGCAACGAGCGCAACCCUUGUUCACUGUUGCCAGCACGUUAUGGUGGGGACUCAGUGGAGACCGCCGGGGUCAACUCGGAGGAAGGUGGGGAUGACGUCAAGUCAUCAUGCCCCUUAUGUCCAGGGCUUCACGCAUGCUACAAUGGCUGGUACAGAGAGUGGCGAGCCUGUGAGGGUGAGCGAAUCUCGGAAAGCCGGUCUCAGUUCGGAUUGGGGUCUGCAACUCGACCUCAUGAAGUCGGAGUCGCUAGUAAUCGCAGAUCAGCAACGCUGCGGUGAAUACGUUCCCGGG